CGUAACAAGGUCUCCGUAGGUGAACCUGCGGNNNNNNNNNNNNNNAAAUAUGAAGGCGGGCUGGAACCUCUCGGGGUUACAGCCUUGCUGAAUUAUUCACCCUUGUCUUUUGCGUACUUCUUGUUUCCUUGGUGGGUUCGCCCACCACUAGGACAAACAUAAACCUUUUGUAAUUGCAAUCAGCGUCAGUAACAAAUUAAUAAUUACAACUUUCAACAACGGAUCUCUUGGUUCUGGCAUCGAUGAAGAACGCAGCGAAAUGCGAUAAGUAGUGUGAAUUGCAGAAUUCAGUGAAUCAUCGAAUCUUUGAACGCACAUUGCGCCCUUUGGUAUUCCAAAGGGCAUGCCUGUUCGAGCGUCAUUUGUACCCUCAAGCUUUGCUUGGUGUUGGGCGUCUUGUCUCUAGCUUUGCUGGAGACUCGCCUUAAAGUAAUUGGCAGCCGGCCUACUGGUUUCGGAGCGCAGCACAAGUCGCACUCUCUAUCAGCAAAGGUCUAGCAUCCAUUAAGCCUUUUUUUCAACUUUUGACCUCGGAUCAGGUAAGGGAUACCCGCUGAACUUAAGCAUAUCA
Molecule: ribosomal RNA, 571 nt
Filed under: uncultured fungus
Lineage: Eukaryota; Fungi
Description: eukaryotic LSU rRNA
Rfam family: 5.8S ribosomal RNA (bases 208-361)
Source: RNAcentral